RNAcentral lists this ribosomal RNA (405 nucleotides) under uncultured Gammaproteobacteria bacterium. RNAcentral's name for it is "bacterial SSU rRNA". It matches the Rfam family "Bacterial small subunit ribosomal RNA", at positions 9 to 414 of the family's 1533-position model. Lineage: Bacteria; Pseudomonadati; Pseudomonadota; Gammaproteobacteria. The record is from RNAcentral.
GAGUUUGAUCCUGGCUCAGGACGAACGCUGGCGGCAUGCUUAACACAUGCAAGUCGAACGGCAGCACGUUGUGUAGCAAUACAUGAUGGUGGCGAGUGGCGGACGGGUGAGUAACGCGUAGGAAUCUGCCUUGAAGAGGGGGACAACCCGAGGAAACUCGGGCUAAUACCGCAUAAACUCGAGAGAGCGAAGCUGGGGCAACCUGGCGCUUCAAGAGGAGCCUGCGUCUGAUUAGCUAGUUGGUAGGGUAAAAGCCUACCAAGGCGAUGAUCGGUAGCUGGUCUGAGAGGGCGGACGGACACACUGGAACUGAGACACGGUCCAGACUCCUACGGGAGGCAGCAGUGGGGAAUUGUUCGCAAUGGGCGCAAGCCUGACGACGCAACGCCGCGUGGAGGAUGAAGA